GUAGAGAAAGUGGAAGAGGAAAGAGUUACCCCAGCGAGAACCGGGAACCGGGCUGCAGACUCUCCGGCCCGGGGGAGGGAUGAGUUUCACUCUGGUUGCCCAGGCUGGAGUGCAAUGGCGCGAUCUCGGCUCACCGCAACCUCUGCCUCCCGGAUUCAAGCGAUUCUCCUGCUUCAGCCUCCCGAGUAGCUGGGAUUACAGUUAAUACAUUUCUAAACAGAUAUGCAGGGGAUAAAAAUGGCAGUCACUUCAUGAGUUGUGAAGAUUAAAUGAGAAAAUGUGUGCACAGUGCAACGUCCAGGCAUUUAGCCAAUGAUGGCCUAUAUGUUGAUGCUGCUAAAGAAGGGAAAACCUGCCAUCCCUUUGGUGAGUCGCCAGAUGAAGCACAGAGGGUGGGAGGCUGGGUGGGACGGAUCCUACCUCGAUCACUGAAGUCGUCGACCAGUACAAUCUCGGCGACCAGCUCUGGAGGCGAGCGAUUGAGCACACUGUGGACGGUGCGGAGGAGGGAGGACCAGCCCUCGUUGUGGAAGGGGAUGAUGAUGCUUGUGUUGGGAAGUGUCUCCAGGUAGCGCUUGCUGUUGCAGCUAGAGGGAAACAUAAGGGGAGGCAGAGGACAGGGUCAGCUCUCCUCCUGCCAAGAGAACUCAGGCACAGGGUUUGGCUAACUGCAAACCCCACUUCCUCUCCAGUCUUUAGGGAAUGAGCAAAAUCCAGGGAUACCUUGGUCACACAGGAACUUCUACAUGACAUCCCAAAGUCCUACCUCCAAUCUCUGCAUAUACAGCACACGCGGAUAUGUAUAAAAGACCUCCCUGAGUUUGAAUAGUUGUGAUUUCAUGUGGAGGACUGCCCUACAGUAACACUCUGGCCUCUCUGUCCAGCUGUGAUAUUGUGAUUUAUAAUAAGAACUAUAGACUUUGGUCUUUGUCCCUGGUUCCUGGCACAGAGCUUCUAAAACUUGUCAUUUCCUAAGCAAAAGGAGUGCUAGGAAAAUCUUAUGUUCUAAUAUUUCGUCUUUGACCCCAGUUCUUGAUGCAGAGCUCCUAAAUCUCUUGGUGUUUUCUGGGUGACAGAGGCAUCUUUUGUUCUAAUGAGGUGACUCUUGGUGGGCUCCAGGAGGCGGGGUGGUCACCAGAAAGAACAUGCCAUAAUUAGAAGCUUGGAACUUUCAGCCCCAACCCACCAUCCUCCAGGAAGGGGACAGGAGCUGGAGAUCAUGAUGAUAAUUGAUCAUGCCAUGUGAUGAGGCCUCCACAAGAAUGUAGGAGGUCCUUCCCACAGACCCUGCCCUAUGCAGCUCUUCAUCUGGCUGUUCAUUUGUAUCCUUUCUAAUAUCCUUCAUAAUAAACUGGUAAACGUGUUCCCCUGAGUUCUGUGAGACACUCUGGCAGAUAAUCAAAUCUAAGGAGGGGAACCACCAAUUUACAGCCGGCUGGUCAGAAUUACCCAAGGUCUGGAUUUGCAAAUGGCAUCUGAAGAUUGGGGGUGAGGGAUAAUCUUGUGGGACCAAUCCCUUUACCUGUGGGAUCUGACUCUAACUCCAGGUAGGUAGUGUCAGAAUUGAAUUGAAUCACAGGACACCAGGCUGGUGCUGGAGAAUUGCUUGUCGGGGAGCCCCCCUCCCUGCCCCACACAUUUGGUCACAGAAGUAUUCUGUGUUGCAUGUGUGAACAGAGAGGAAAAAACAGUGAGUUUGUUUUUUCAUAUUACACAUUCCUCUCCAAUGGAGGAGAAAUGAUUUAUCCAUGAGUUUGGAAGAAUAAACUGGGCUUCAAUGGCUCAGCCCCUCCUCUCUCUCCCUGGGCUCUAGUCUCCACCAGCCCCACGGUAAGCUUAGGGGUGGAAGGCCCUGCCCCUUGUGCGUCUUUCAUACCAUUAUAACACCCAGAAGAAUUAACAUUGUUCCUUAAUAUCAUCAAACAUCUAGUUGGUUUGCAAAUUUCCCUGAUGUUACGUCUUUCUAUAGUUGGUUUGUUUAAUACAGGAUCAAAACAAGGUCCACGUACUGCAUACAGCUCAUGCGUCUCCUAAGUCUCUUUUAUACAUAAGCUUCUGCCCUCCUUUUUUUUUUUCCCCUUCGAUUUGUUUGUUGAAGAAACUGGGCUAUUUAUCUUAUAGGAGUCCCUGCAGUCUGCAUUUUGCUGCUUGCAUCUCUGUGGUAUCCUUUAAACUGUUCCUCUGUCUGUCCCCCUUUAGUUCUUGUAAACUGGUAGUUAGAUCUAUAAGCUUGACCUAAUUCAAUAAGCUAUUCUGACAGCCUCUUCAAAGGUGGUGGUACAGGGAUCCCUUAGGAGACACAUUGUGUCCAGUUGUCUUUCCUUUUGUGAUAAUCGAUGCCUAAAUAUUUUAUUUCAUCAGGAGUUUGAAAAACGAUUACAUUCUAAUUCUAUUACUCCAUCUUCAUUUACCAGCUGAAAUUCUUCUAUAGAGAAAACUUUACCACAUCAACUAUUCGUUCACCCCAAAGUAUAGGAAAGGCAGGGUAAGUUCUUGAUUCUUUACAAGUCUUUAGAAUGAGCUGGUUCCCCAGCAUCCUCCAACGAUGGUCAAUUAUGUUAACUCACAAAUGGAAACAUAAUUAAUGUGUUUCAAUCAAAUGCAGUUAUUAUUCUUACUGGUUCCCAAAUAAACCCAUCUUUAGCCAAAAGGAGUCUUCUCAGGUUGGUUCCUGAGUCCUUUGGACAUGAUCAGAGUACUGAUAGCUUCUUUGUUUUACGAUAAAAGAUACGAAAAUAUUCCCCAGGCUUAACUCACACAUUUCCUGCCCUAACCUGGAAUCAGCCAUUCUGCCAAAGAACUUUUAAUCCUUCAUAUCAUCAAUAUCACCAUUCGGAUGCUGCAACAUGAGCACUAAGGGUGUUCCUUACUACUAGGUUGGUUAUAGUUUCUAUGCCUUUCCAGUGGUCAGAACUACAAAUAUAUUUUAUUUUUUAUUUUUUUGAGACAGGGUCUCAAUCUGUCACCCAGGCUGGAGUGCAGUGACACAAUCUCGGCUCAAUGCAACCUCCAUCUCCCAGGUUCAUGCCAUCCCACCUCAGCCUCCCAAGUAGCUGGGACUACAGGUGCACGCCACCCUCUGCCUGGCUAAUUUUUGAAUUUUUUUGUAGAGACAAGGUUUCACCAAGUUGCCCAGGCUGGUAUGAAUAUAUUUUAAACAAUACAUUAUGAGUUUAAGCAGAAAUUUUAUAUUUAACAUAUAGAAUUACUGAGUUUUACUGAACUCUAAUUUUAUAUUGUAUCUCCUUUGUAUUGAGAUAUAAUUCACAUACCAUAAAAGUUACUCUUUUAUAAUUUAGUAGUUCUUAAUAUAUUCACAGAGUUGUGCAAAUAUAACCACUGUCUAAUUCCACAACAUUUUCAUCACUCCUAAAGAAACCCUGUGUGUACUAGCGGUCAUUCCCCAUCUUCCCCUCCUGCCAGCUAGCUGCUAGCAAUCCCUAAUCUGCUUUCUGUGUUCAUGGAUUUUCCUAACCUGGACAUUUUAUAUAAAUGGAUUCAUAUUUGAGGCUUUUUGUGUCUGGCCACACUUGGUGUAAUGUUUUCAAAGUUCAUCUAUGUUGUAGCAUGCAUCAAUGCUUCAUUUCUUUUUCAUAGCUGAAUAAUAGCCCAUUGUAUGAAUUCACCACAUUUUAUUUAUCUAUUCAUCAAUUAAUGGAUAUUUGGGCUGUUUCCCCCUUUUGGCUAUUAUGAAUAACAUGAAUAUGAACAUUCAUGUGCAAGUUUUUAUGUAGACAUGUUUUCAAUUCUGUGGGUACAUAGCAAACAGCUGGAUUGCUGGGUCAAAGGUAACUCCAUUUUUAACUUUGUAAAGACCUGUCAAAUGAUUUUCCAAAGUGAUAACACCAUUUCACAUUCCCACCAGCAAUGUGAAAUGAGAUUUCCAGUUUCUCCACAUCCUCACCAAUUCUUGCUAUUGUCCAUCUUUUUGAUUAUAGCUAUCCUAGUGAGUGUGAAGUGGUAUCUCCUUAUGGUUUAAUGACUAAUGAUGUUGAGUAUCUUUCCAUAUGCCUAUUGGCCAUUUGUACAUCUUCUCUGGAAAAAUGGCUAGUAAAUGUAUAUUUUACUUUCAGGUUUUUUUUUUUGCUAGUGUGUAGAAAUACAAUUGAUUUUUGUAUAUUAAUUUUGUAUCCUGCAAUCUUGCUGAGCACAUUUAUUAGUUCUAAUAAUUUUGUAUAAACUCCUUAGAAUUUCUUAGGUACAAGAUAAUGUCAUCUACAAAUAGAGGUAAUUUUACUUAUUCCUUUCCAAUAUAGAUGACUUUUUAUGUCUUUUUCUUGUCUAAUUGUCUUGGCUGGCAACUCCAGUACAAUGCUAAACAUAAGGCAAGAGCACACAUCCUUAUCUUGUUCCUGAUCUUAGGAGGAAAAGCUUUCAGUCUCUCACCAGUAAGUAAGAUGUUAGUGUGGGUUUUUCACAGAUGCACUUUAUCAGCUUGGAGCAGUUCCUUUCUAUUCCUAGUUUGCUGAGUGUUUUAAUCCUCGAAAAAGAAGUGUUGGAUUUUGUCAAAUGGCUUUUUUUUUUUUUGCAUCUACUGAGAUGAUUAUGUAAGUUUUGUCCUUUAUUUUAUUAAUAUGAUGUAUUUACACUG
This 4591-nucleotide long non-coding RNA is filed under the name Homo sapiens (human). RNAcentral's name for it is "SAP30L and GALNT10 antisense RNA 1". Lineage: Eukaryota; Metazoa; Chordata; Mammalia; Primates; Hominidae. The record is from RNAcentral.